Molecule: non-coding RNA, 45 nt
Filed under: Schistosoma margrebowiei
Lineage: Eukaryota; Metazoa; Platyhelminthes; Trematoda; Strigeidida; Schistosomatidae
Source: RNAcentral
AUACACCUGACGAGUCCGAACUAGGGCGAAACGCACGUCCUGAAU